Molecule: ribosomal RNA, 701 nt
Filed under: uncultured bacterium
Lineage: Bacteria
Description: bacterial SSU rRNA
Rfam family: Bacterial small subunit ribosomal RNA
Source: RNAcentral
AGAGUUUGAUCCUGGCUCAGGACGAACGCUGGCGGCACGCUUAAAACAUGCAAGUCGAACGUGAAGCUCGGGCUUGCCCGGGUGGAAAGUGGCGAACGGGUGCGUAACACGUGAGCAACCUGCCCCGAAGACUGGGAUAACACCGGGAAACCGGUGCUAAUACCGGAUGCCUUCACCACGUCGCAUGGCGAGGUGAAGAAAUGGAUUCCGCUUCGGGAUGGGCUCGCGGCCUAUCAGCUUGUUGGUGGGGUAAUGGCCUACCAAGGCAACGACGGGUAGCUGGUCUGAGAGGAUGAUCAGCCUGACUGGAACUGAGACACGGUCCAGACUCCUACGGGGGGCAGCAGUAGGGAAUUUUCCGCAAUGGGCGAAAGCCUGACGGAGCAACGCCGCGUGCAGGAGGAAGGCCUUCGGGUUGUAAACUGCUUUUAAGGGGGACGAUUAUGACGGUACCCCUAGAAUAAGGAUCGGCUAAUUCCGUGCCAGCAGCCGCGGUCAUACGGGAGAUCCGAGCGUUAUCCGGAAUUACUGGGCGUAAAGAGUUGCGUAGGUGGCAUGUAAAGCGAGCAGUGAAAGACUCCGGCUCAACCGGAGGCACAUUGUUCGAACUUACNAGCUAGAGCAUANUAGAGGUACCUGGAAUUUCUAGUGUAGGAGUGAAAUCCGUAGAUAUUANAAGGAACACCGAUCGGCGUAGGCAG